This 4453-nucleotide ribosomal RNA is filed under the name Plenodomus lingam JN3. RNAcentral's name for it is "28S_rRNA". The stretch from base 307 to 3655 matches the Rfam family "Eukaryotic large subunit ribosomal RNA". Lineage: Eukaryota; Fungi; Ascomycota; Dothideomycetes; Pleosporales; Leptosphaeriaceae. The record is from RNAcentral.
ACUUUUAAUAACAGAUCUCUUGGUUCUAGUAUUAAUAAAGAACGCAGCGAAAUGCGAUAAGUAGUGUAAAUUAUAGAAUUUAGUAAAUUAUUAAAUCUUUAAACGCACAUUGCGCCCCUUAGUAUUCUAUAGGGUAUGCCUGUUUAAGCGUUAUUUGUACCCUUAAGCUCUGCUUGGUGUUAGGUGUUUGUUCUACUUAGGACUUGCCUUAAAACAAUUGGCAGCUAGCAUAUUAGCCUAGAGCGCAGCACAUUUUACGCCUCUUGUUAUGGUUAUUAGUAUUUAUUAAGACACUUUUUAAGCUCUUAACCUUAGAUUAGGUAGGGAUACCUGCUAAACUUAAGCAUAUUAAUAAGCGGAGGAAAAGAAACUAAUAGGGAUUGCCCUAGUAAUAGCGAGUGAAGCGGCAACAGCUUAAAUUUAAAAUCUAGCUCUUUUAGGGUCCAAGUUGUAAUUUACAGAGGGCGCUUUAGCGUUAGCAGUGGUCUAAGUUCCUUAGAACAGGACGUUAUAGAGGGUAAGAAUCCUAUAUAUAGUUGCUAGCCUUCGCCGUGUAAAGCCCCUUUAAUAAGUUAAGUUAUUUAGGAAUACAGCUCUAAAUAGGAGGUAAAUUUCUUCUAAAGCUAAAUACUAGCUAGAGACUAAUAGCGCAUAAGUAGAGUAAUUAAAAGAUAAAAAGCACUUUAGAAAGAGAGUUAAAUAGCACGUGAAAUUGUUAAAAGGGAAGCGCUUGUAGCUAGACUUGCCUAUAGUUGCUUAUCUAGGCUUUUGUCUAGUGCACUCUUCUAUAGGCAGGCUAGUAUUAGUUUAGGCGGUUAGAUAAAGGUCUCUAUUACGUACCUCCCUUUAGGGAGGCCUUAUAGGGGAGAUAACAUGCAACUAGCCUAGACUAAGGUCCGCGCAUCUGCUAGGAUGCUAGCGUAAUAGCUGUAAGCGGCCUAUCUUAAAACAUAGACUAAGGAGUCUAAUAUCUAUGCAAGUGUUUAGGUGUUAAGCCUAGACGCGUAAUAAAAGUAAACAGAGGUAGGAACCCUUUUAGGGUGCACUAUUAACCAAUCCUAAUAUCUUUAGAAGGAUUUAAGUAAGAGUAUAGCUAUUAGGACCUAAAAGAUAGUAAACUAUGCUUAAAUAGGGUAAAGCUAGAGGAAACUCUAGUAGAGGCUUGCAGUAGUUCUAACGUGCAAAUUAAUUGUUAAAUUUAGGUAUAGGGGCGAAAGACUAAUCAAACUAUCUAGUAGCUAGUUCCUACUAAAGUUUCCCUUAGGAUAGUAGUAACGUAUUUAGUUUUAUAAGGUAAAGCGAAUAAUUAGAGGCCUAGGGGUUAAAACAACCUUUACCUAUUCUUAAACUUUAAAUAUAUAAGAAGUCCUUAUUACUUAAUUAAACGUGGACACUUGAAUAUACUAUUACUAGUAGGCUAUUUUUAGUAAGUAGAACUAGCAAUACAGGAUAAACUAAACGCGGGGUUAAGGUGCUAGAAUGCACGCUUAUUAGACACUACAAAAGGUGUUAGUUUAUCUAGAUAGUAGGAUAGUAGCUAUAGAAGUUAGAAUCCGCUAAGGAGUGUGUAAUAACUUACCUGCUAAAUAAACUAGCCCUAAAAAUAGAUGGCGCUUAAGCGUGUUACCUAUACCCUGCCGCUAGGGCAAGAUUUAAGCCCUAGCAAGUAGGCAGGCGUAGAGGCUCGUGACGAAGCCUUAGGGGUAACCCUAGGUAGAACGGCCUCUAGUGCAGAUCUUAGUAGUAGUAGUAAAUACUUAAAUAAGAACUUUAAGGACUAAAGUAGGGAAAGGUUCUAUAUAAAUAGUAGUUAGACACAGGUUAGUUAAUCCUAAGAGAUAGGGUAAUUCUAUUUUAAUGUCAGCGCUUACGCCGCGCCCUUAAAAGGGAAGCUAGUUAAUAUUCUAGCACCUAGAUGUAGAUUCUCCGCGGCAACGCAACUAAGAGCGGAGACCUUAGCAGGAGCCCUAAGAAGAGUUCUCUUUUCUUCUUAAUAGUCUGUUACCCUAAAAUUAGUUUGUCUAGAGCUAGGGUUUAAUAGCUAGAAGAGCGCUGCACUUUUGCGGCGUUUGGUGCGCUCCUAAUAAGCCUUAAAAAUCUGCUUAAAGAAAUAGUUUUUACGCUAGGUUAUACUUAUAACUGCAGCAGGUCUCUAAGGUAAAAAGCCUCUAGUUAAUAGAAUAAUAUAGAUAAGGGAAGUUAGCAAAAUAGAUCUAUAACUUUAGGAAAAGGAUUAGCUCUAAGGGUUAGGUACGUUAGGCCUUAGGGAGAAGCCUCUAGCGCAGAAGGGCACUAACUGCAAGGUAGGCGCCUCUUAGCGCUAGGGUGCAGACACCCUUAGCAGGUUUUAGCUGUCUAGCGUACAUUUAACAACUAACUUAGAACUAGUAUAGAUAAGGGGAAUCUAACUGUCUAAUUAAAAUAUAGUAUUAUAAUAGCUAGAAAGUAGUAUUAACGCAAUAUAAUUUCUGCCUAGUACUCUAAAUAUUAAAGUAAAGAGAUUUAACUAAGCGCAGGUAAAUAGCAGGAGUAACUAUAACUCUCUUAAGGUAGCUAAAUGCCUUAUUAUCUAAUUAGUAACGCGUAUAAAUAGAUUAAUAAGAUUCCUACUAUCCCUAUCUACUAUCUAGCGAAACCACAGCUAAGGGAACAGGCUUGGCCAAAUUAGCAGGGAAAGAAGACCCUAUUAAGCUUAACUCUAGUUUAAUAUUAUAAAAAGAUAUAGGGGGUAUAGAAUAGGUAGGAGCUUUGGCGCUAGUGAAAUACUACUACCCUUAUUAUUUUUUUACUUAUUUAAUAAAGCGGAGCUAGGCCUUACUACCUAACUUCUAGCGUUUAAGGUCCUUCAUAGGCUAAUCUAGGUUAAAGAUAUUGUUAGGUAGGGAGUUUAGCUAGGGCAGCACAUCUAUUAAACUAUAACGCAGGUGUCCUAAGGGGGACUUAUAGAGAAUAGAAAUCUCUAGUAGAGUAAAAGGGCAAAAGUCCCCUUAAUUUUAAUUUUUAGUGUGAAUACAAACUAUAAAAGUGUGGCCUAUUAAUCCUUUAGUCCCUUGAAAUUUAAGGCUAGAGGUGCUAGAAAAGUUACCACAGGGAUAACUAGCUUGUGGCAGCUAAGCGUUUAUAGCGACGUUGCUUUUUAAUCCUUUAAUGUUAGCUCUUCCUAUUAUACUAAAGCAGAAUUUAGUAAGCGUUAGAUUGUUUACCUACUAAUAGGGAACGUGAGCUAGGUUUAGACUGUUGUAAGACAGGUUAGUUUUACCCUACUAAUAACCUUGCCCUAAUAGUAAUACCGCUUAGUACAAGAGGAACCGCGGUUUUAGAUAAUUAGUUUUUGCAGCUAUCUAACUAGGUAUUGCCGCAAAGCUACUAUCUACUAGAUUAUGGCUAAACGCCUCUAAGUUAGAAUCUAUGCUAGAACAGGGUGAUUUCCGCCUGCACUAGUUAGAUACAAAUAGGCCUUUAGCCUAGAACCUUACUAGAUUAGCGUUAGCAGCCCUAUUAAAGUUAGGGUUGUUAGCUAGUGUAUUGUAAUUGUACAGUGCGCAGGAUUAAAUCCUUUAUAGAUAACUUAGUUGUCUAGCUAGGUCGUGUAAGUAGUUAAGUAGCCUUGUUGUUACAAGCUACUAAGCGUAAGCCUGUUGCUAGCUUGGUUAAAAUUAGGAUAUUAUGCCCUCCUUAUUUGCAAAACUGCUGCCUAAAUAGCUGCUAUUAAUAGAAGGAAGAGGGCCAUAGCAAAUAAGUUAUAUAGUAAUUGCAAGAUAGAGAGGGCUAGAGCUAGGAGUAAUCCUCGCAAAAUAUACAAAAGAACAGGUUAUGUGUGUACGUACCUUAGGCAGUUAAUAUAUAGCAUAGGAAGAUUAAGAAAGGAUUUAAGAUAAUCUAUAUAGAUUUUUAGGUAGUGAUCUAUAACUUUUUAUUUUUUAGGGGUAGUGUUCUAUAACUCUAGGGCGUUCUAUAACUUUAGGGCGUUCUAUAACUUUUUAUUUUUUAGGGGUAGUGUUCUAUAACUUUAGGGCUUUCUAUAACUUUAGGGCGUUCUAUAACUUUAGGGCGUUCUACAACUUUUUAUUUUUUAGGGGUAGUGUUCUAUAACUUUAGGGCGUUCUAUAACUUUAGGGCGUUCUAUAACUUUAGGGCGUUCUAUAACUUUUUAUUUUUUAGGGGUAGUGUUCUAUAACUUUAGGGCGUUCUAUAACUUUUUCUUUUUUAGAGGUAGUGUUCUAUAACUUUAGGGCGUUCUAUAACUUUUUAUUUUUUAGGGGUAGUGUUCUAUAACUCUAGGGCGUUCUAUAACUUUUUAUUUUUUAGGGUUAGUAUUCUAUAAUAUUAGAGUGUUCUAUAACUUUUUCUUUUUUAGAGGUAGUGUUCUAUAAUAUUAGAGUGUUCUAUAACUUUUUAUUUUUUAGGGUUAGUAUUCUAUAAUAUUAGAGUGUUCUAUAACUUUUUCUUUUUU